UAUGGCUCAGGAUGAACGCUGGCGGCGUGCCUAAUACAUGCAAGUGAAACGGGUAUCUUCGGAUACCAGUCGCGGACGGGUGAGUAAUACAUAGGCAACCUGCCUUUAUGAGGGGGAUAACCGAGGGAAACUUUGGCUAAUACCGCAUGAAGACUCUAAGGCAUCUUAGAGGGAUAAAAGUUGGGAAACAACGCAUGAAGAUGGGCUUAUGGCGCAUUAGCUAGUUGGUGAGAUAGAAGCCCACCAAGGUAAUGAUGCGUAGCCGACCUGAGAGGGUGAACGGCCACAUUGGGACUGAGACACGGCCCAAACUCCUACGGGAGGCAGCAGUAGGGAAUUUUCGGCAAUGGGGGGAACCCUGACCGAGCAACGCCGCGUGAAAGGAAGAAGGUUUUCGGAUUGUAAACUUCUGUUAUAAGGGAAGAACGGAUUGGAUAGGGAAUGAUCUGAUAGUGACGGUACCUUAUUAGAAAGCCACGGCUAACUACGUGCCAGCCGCUGC
Molecule: ribosomal RNA, 502 nt
Filed under: uncultured bacterium
Lineage: Bacteria
Description: bacterial SSU rRNA
Rfam family: Bacterial small subunit ribosomal RNA
Source: RNAcentral